RNAcentral lists this long non-coding RNA (410 nucleotides) under Panax ginseng (ginseng). RNAcentral describes it as "long non-coding RNA (PGIN_LNC000868)". Lineage: Eukaryota; Viridiplantae; Streptophyta; Magnoliopsida; Apiales; Araliaceae. The record is from RNAcentral.
CACACGUUCUUCGGGAAUGUCAUCAAAGUCAGCAGAGAUCCGGUCUAGGAUGGUCCAGUCUGGAAGAGAAGAGAUCUCUGGUCCAGUGAUGAAGAACCAUUUCUCGUGCCAGCCUGUGUUGCUCGAAGGGGUGCUCAUCAGGGGCCUCUUCUCGAAUUUAGAGUUUGGGCGUGGAGAUUGUUUGCUCAGCAUCUUAAACCCUCGUUCUCAGGAUCUACCGGCGGAGAAAAGGGUGAAGAAAAGGUCGACGGAGGGAGUAACCCCUAGCUCGUGGCAGAAGGCAAUGAAUGUCAGUAUGUGGAUAUAGGAGUUGGGCACCAGCUGAGCAAAGCCCACUCCUAUGAACCCUAGGAGAGUGACGACGAAGGCGUGAAGGGGUAGGCGAAUCCCCUUUUCCAGAAAAGUGGCAG